This is a non-coding RNA of Octodon degus (degu), 395 nucleotides long. Lineage: Eukaryota; Metazoa; Chordata; Mammalia; Rodentia; Octodontidae. The record is from the annotation of a RefSeq genome assembly.
UGGUGAUCAGGACUGAACACAGGCGGCUCACCAUGGAGUUUAGAACGGGCUGGCUUUUCCUUCUUGGUGUUUUAAAAGGUGUCCAGGCUGAGGUGCAGCUGGUGGAGUCCGGGAGAGGCUUGGUGCAGCCUGGGGGGUCCCUGAGACUUUCCUGCACAGUCUCUGGAUUUAGUGGCUUCAGCUACAUCUACAUGAGCUGGAUCCGCCAGCCUCCAGGGAAGGGGCUGGAGUGGAUCUCAGGCAUCAGUGGUGAUAGUAGUGCUAUAAACUACGCAGACUCCGUGAAGGGCCGAUUCACCAUCUCCAGAGACAACAGCAGGAACACACUGUAUCUGCAAAUGAGCAACGUGCGAAGCGAGGACACGGCCGUGUAUUACUGUGCUAAGGCACAGUGA